UGAUUGUCCAUUCGCAUUUCUUGCCGUCCGUUUCAAGCCUGUCUCGAUCCACCGAGUACACAAAUGGCUUAAAACGCGUACAAUAAGUGCAAGAGAUGUUUAUGGGCAUC
This 110-nucleotide microRNA precursor is filed under the name Fasciola hepatica (liver fluke). RNAcentral describes it as "microRNA fhe-mir-219 precursor". Its record names the gene fhe-mir-219. Lineage: Eukaryota; Metazoa; Platyhelminthes; Trematoda; Plagiorchiida; Fasciolidae. The record is from miRBase by way of RNAcentral.